UACAGAGGUCUCAAGCGUUGUUCGGAUUCAUUGGGCGUAAAGGGUGCGUAGGCGGUGUGGAAAGUCGAAUGUGAAAUCUUGGGGCUCAACCCCGAAACUGCACUCGAUACUACCAUACUAGAGGAUUGUAGAGGAGAUCGGAAUUCACGGUGUAGCAGUGAAAUGCGUAGAUAUCGUGAGGAAGACCAGUGGCGAAAGCGGAUCUCUGGGCAACUCCUGACGCUGAGGCACGAAGGCUAGGGGAGCAAACGGG
Molecule: ribosomal RNA, 253 nt
Filed under: uncultured bacterium
Lineage: Bacteria
Description: partial 16S ribosomal RNA
Rfam family: Bacterial small subunit ribosomal RNA
Source: RNAcentral